AGGAAAUCAGCACAGUAUGCUAGUACUGCGCUGAUCCUUCUUUGAUGGUUGAUCAGGUAUCUCCUUCUUCUUGAUUUGGACUCUUCCAAAGAUAAAAAGUAAAAGGAGGAGUUUCAGAUCUGAGACACUCUCAGAAAACUCAAGAUGGAGGGAGGAAAGAUAUGAAAACAAAAAACCCUAGAAGAAGACCCUCUUCUUCUUCACAUUUUUCUCUCUAGACACCCUAACUUGCAUCUUUUAUAUCUCCAUGACCCAAAGGUCUUUCUCUCUAAUUUUUGGAUGGCACAAAGGUCUCUCA
This 298-nucleotide long non-coding RNA is filed under the name Elaeis guineensis (African oil palm). Its description in RNAcentral is "long non-coding RNA (EGUI_LNC066768)". The record is from RNAcentral. Lineage: Eukaryota; Viridiplantae; Streptophyta; Magnoliopsida; Arecales; Arecaceae.